RNAcentral lists this ribosomal RNA (435 nucleotides) under uncultured Clostridium sp. RNAcentral describes it as "partial 16S ribosomal RNA". It matches the Rfam family "Bacterial small subunit ribosomal RNA", at positions 341 to 792 of the family's 1533-position model. The record is from RNAcentral. Lineage: Bacteria; Bacillati; Bacillota; Clostridia; Eubacteriales; Clostridiaceae.
ACGGGAGGCAGCAGUGGGGGAUAUUGCACAAUGGAGGAAACUCUGAUGCAGCAACGCCGCGUGAGGGAAGAAGGUCUUCGGAUUGUAAACCUCUGUUUUUGGUGAAGAAUUUUGACGGUAGCCAAAGAGGAAGCCACGGCUAACUACGUGCCAGCAGCCGCGGUAAUACGUAGGUGGCAAGCGUUGUCCGGAUUUACUGGGUGUAAAGGGUGCGCAGGCGGGACUGCAAGUUGGAUGUGAAAUACCGAGGCUUAACCUCGGGGCUGCAUCCAAAACUGUGGUUCUUGAGUGGAGUAGAGGUAAGCGGAAUUCCGAGUGUAGCGGUGAAAUGCGUAGAUAUUCGGAGGAACACCAGUGGCGAAGGCGGCUUACUGGGCUCUAACUGACGCUGAGGCACGAAAGUGUGGGUAGCAAACAGGAUUAGAUACCCUGGUA